GCCGAGACUAGAGUCACAUCUGGACACUGCCUGUUGUCCUGGUGUGCUAGAGUACUCGGAUAGUAACCACUAAUCUAUAUUCACUGGCUGUGCCCUUUCUUGGCUCAGUCAGUCACCAGGUUAGUGACAGUC
Molecule: small nucleolar RNA, 132 nt
Filed under: Calidris pugnax (ruff)
Lineage: Eukaryota; Metazoa; Chordata; Aves; Charadriiformes; Scolopacidae
Description: Small nucleolar RNA SNORA3/SNORA45 family (ENSCPUG00000017502.1)
Rfam family: Small nucleolar RNA SNORA3/SNORA45 family
About the family: The members of this family belong to the H/ACA class of snoRNAs which are thought to guide the sites of modification of uridines to pseudouridines.
Source: RNAcentral